This 207-nucleotide unclassified non-coding RNA is filed under the name plant metagenome. Its description in RNAcentral is "partial contains small subunit ribosomal RNA, internal transcribed spacer 1, and 5.8S ribosomal RNA". The record is from RNAcentral.
UUUCCGUAGGUGAACCUGCGGAAGGAUCAUUCAUAAUAAGUGUUUUAUGGCACUUUUUUAAAUCCAUAUCCACCUUGUGUGCAAUGUCAGGGUUGGUCUCUUUUGAUCAUCCCCAAACAUCAACUAUUAUCUCAACUCUUUGUCUGAAAAAUAUUAUGAAUAAAACAAUUAAAAAUACAACUUUCAACAACGGAUCUCUUGGCUCUG